Molecule: RNA transcript, 1949 nt
Organism: Panicum virgatum (switchgrass)
Lineage: Eukaryota; Viridiplantae; Streptophyta; Magnoliopsida; Poales; Poaceae
Gene name: probable polygalacturonase
Exons: 6
Source: RefSeq, a predicted model, not a curated record
AUGUCGCGCCUCUCGCCACCGUCCACUGGUCCCGCCGCCAACGCACCAGCGCCAACAACUCCCGCCGACGCCCCCGCAGCAGCACCAGCCGUCGAUUCCAUGGCCGCUCCCGCCAACUCCGGUGCCGCAUCAGAAUCUGUUCCGUUUCCCCUUUUUCUUUCUUUUUUUGGUCGUGUCUGUCCGCUCCUUGGUAUUGGUGUGGUUGGCCUUCCAUUACAAUUCCCAAAGCAAGCAAAGCGAUGCGCGUGGGAGGCGCACUCGCUUCUCCUCCGUCACGAUCAUGGCCGCCCACGACCCCACGCCGCUCCCGUGGCCGCGCCCGGCGCCCGGCGCCCCUCCUACCUCGCCCUCACGCGCCUCCCGCCCGCCGCGCCUCUGUCCGCGCUCCUGAUCGCGCACCCUCCUCCUGCUCCCCGCGGCGAACCCACCACCACCAGCAGCUGCGCCGGGUUCUACGCCGGCGCGCGGCGUUUCCGCGUCGGUUGAGGAGUUCGGCGGCGUUCCGGCGCGCGGUGGCGGAGCUGGACGAGAGGGCCAGGGGCGGCGGCGGACGAGGAGCCAGGCUGGAGGUGCCGCCGGGGAGGUGGCUCACGGGAAGCUUCAACCUCACCAGCCGAUUCACCCUCUUCCUGCACCAAGGCACGGUCAUCCUCGGCUCCCAGGAUCCAGAAGAGUGGCCUCUCAUUGCCCCUUUGCCAUCUUACAGGCGUGGAAGGGAACGAUUGGGGCCACGCCAUAUCAGCCUCAUUCAUGGAGAGGGCUUAAAUGAUGUUGUUGUUACUGGCAACAAUGGGACCAUAGAUGGCCAAGGAGAGAUGUGGUGGGAGAUGUGGUGGAAUCGAACUUUGAAUUACACAAGGGGCCAUCUUGUCGAGCUUGCGAACUCAACCAACAUCCUAAUCUCUAAUAUCACACUACGCAACUCCCCAUUCUGGACAGUGCAUCCAGUCUACAGCAGCAACGUGGUGAUCAAGGGUUUGACCAUACUGGCUCCCCUAAAUGCUCCAAACACUGAUGGCAUUGAUCCAGAUUCGAGCUCAGAAGUUUGUAUUGAGGACUGCUAUAUUGAAAGCGGAGAUGAUCUAGUAGCUGUCAAAAGUGGCUGGGAUCAGUAUGGGAUCUCUGUUGGCAAACCAAGUACAAACAUUGUCAUCCAGAGGGUUUCAGGCACAACUCCAAUGUGCUCAGGUGUAGGUUUUGGAAGCGAGAUGUCAGGAGGCAUAUCUAAUGUGCUUGUCCGUGACCUCCACGUGUGGAAUUCGGCACAAGCAGUGAGGCUGAAGACCGACGUAGGGCGGGGUGGGUACAUAACCAACAUCACCAUAACCAAGGUGACAAUGGAGAAGGUCAAGGUACCGAUAAAGUUUAGUCGGGGUGCAGAUGACCAUUCAGAUGACAACUAUGACCGAACCGCACUGCCAAGGAUCAGUAAUGUGCUUAUCAGUGGUAUUGUCGGUGUUGACCUGCAGCGUGCGCCAAUGCUGGAGGCAGUGGCUGGUGCAGUUUAUGAAGGGAUAUGCUUUCGGAAUGUUAGCUUAAGAGGCAUAAGGCGGCAGGGUAGAUGGCAUUGUGAGUCCGUGUACGGAGCGGCGCAUGGAGUUUUCCCUGCACCCUGUGAAGAGUUGAGGAAGAAUCGGUCUUCAUCGUGGUGUGGAUUUUCAUGACCAGUUGUACAGAUUACAGAAGUCAGAAGUUUCUCUCAGUGACUGAUACUUGAAAUGUAGGGUAUUCAUAUUGGUGUGCCAGGAAGGAAGGAUAGGACAUAGGGUUUUGGGAUAGACAGAUAGUAUAGUCAAAUUCAACAUUUACUCAUUUAGCCUUAGUCUUCUAGCAUUUUAAAGGGGGGUUACAAACAGUUUACAAACAUCAUGUGUGGGCACAGCUCACUGCAAAAAGGAAAGGAACAGUUAUUAAUACAGAGAAGUUACUUAUUGAACCAUUUUCCUACA